UCCACACCCUUCAGCUAAAAGAGGAGUUUUGGAGGAGGUGGAGCAAAGCAACGCUUGGAGCACAGUUUGAGCUUGGACUUGAGCUCUGAGGCUUUUGGAGGCAACACGUACGUCCGCUGUGACCUGUGUUGUCUUUGUGCUGCACUCUGUGACUUUUGGAUCUCUUCAGUGAAAAGCAUAUAGAGGCAUCAGGGCUUUUUUUUUUUUUUUAAGUUUUUUUAUUCUUUCUUUCUUUGUUUCUUUACUGCCUGCACUCAAACACAUCUCAUUCAAGCACUUCAUCACAGGAAGCCUGUGGUAACAAAUCCAGGAACAACACAUGUAGCUUUAUUCUGCGCUGAAUGGGAAACGUAGCUGCAGGCUACAACUGGUGACCACGGACUUUAUUAAGACAAAUGAAAGGACUUUAAACAAUGGAGCUUUUGAGACGGAGAAGAGCAGUAUUAUUCUUCAGCGUUCUCAGACGUGGACGAAGAUCCUGGGGGAGAAAAAAAAGCGCGACGGGUAAAAGAAAAGGAGGGCAGAAUGCAGGGAGGACUUACUCAUACAGGAAGGAAGUACAGGAAGUGUCCCAUUGGGAAAACAAGUAGCAAUGUAAUUGUGAACCCUGAGCUCAUUUACUGUCUGGGUGGUCAUGAAAGGGAAGCACUGAUUGUGUGUGUGUGUGUGUGUGUGUUGCCAACAAAUGUUUUUUCAUAAAUGUUUUAUGAUGGCACACCAUGCUGUGAGCAUUGUUUUUAAACGUUUCUUUGUUAAACACUGGCAAAAAUGUAUCUCAUAGCGUCUCACAAAAUAUGAAUUAUUCUGUGUGUCCCAGCUGCAUAACAGUAGACAAAUAAAGACAUGAUUUACCAUCUCUUUAAUACACAGCUAAAGGGGCGGCUACAGGACAUAUACAGAAUAUAACGUCUUGUCUUAUUUUUCAGUUACUGUAGUCUUGUAAGUGGCUGAAUCAACCCUCAAAAACUCAAUUUUAAAUUAACUUAAAAGGUGAUGGACCGAGUAAACAGGAGAAUCAUCUUUGAGAUAAGAAAAUCACAUCGGGAUGAGCUAUCAGAUUUAAGCUGCCACCUAAAGUGAGUCACAGAGCCAUUUCCAUUGAGCUAAACACUCACGUAACGUCCUCAAUAGAAAACGGAUAAAGAACAUAAAAUACAAAGACGUGUGGAGACCUUCAUGUUUUGAAACAUGUAAAUGAAAUAAAGAAAUAUUUCACAUAA
Molecule: long non-coding RNA, 1220 nt
Organism: Solea senegalensis (Senegalese sole)
Lineage: Eukaryota; Metazoa; Chordata; Actinopteri; Pleuronectiformes; Soleidae
Exons: 3
Source: RefSeq, a predicted model, not a curated record